UACGAAGGGGGCUAGCGUUGCUCGGAAUCACUGGGCGUAAAGGGCGCGUAGGCGGCCGAUUAAGUCGGGGGUGAAAGCCUGUGGCUCAACCACAGAAUUGCCUUCGAUACUGGUUGGCUUGAGACCGGAAGAGGACAGCGGAACGUGCGAGUGUAGAGGUGAAAUUCGUAGAUAUUCGCAAGAACACCAGUGGCGAAGGCGGCUGUCUGGUCCGGUUCUGACGCUGAGGCGCGAAAGCGUGGGAGCAAACAGG
RNAcentral lists this ribosomal RNA (253 nucleotides) under uncultured bacterium. RNAcentral's name for it is "partial 16S ribosomal RNA". It matches the Rfam family "Bacterial small subunit ribosomal RNA", at positions 524 to 776 of the family's 1533-position model. The record is from RNAcentral.